UACGAAGGGGGCUAGCGUUGCUCGGAAUGACUGGGCGUAAAGGGCGCGUAGGCGGUUUGUACAGUCAGGUGUGAAAUUCCCGGGCUCAACCUGGGGGCUGCACUUGAUACGUAUAGACUUGAGUGAGGAAGAGGGUCGUGGAAUUCCCAGUGUAGAGGUGAAAUUCGUAGAUAUUGGGAAGAACACCGGUGGCGAAGGCGGCGACCUGGUCCUUGUACUGACGCUGAGGCGCGAAAGCGUGGGGA
RNAcentral lists this ribosomal RNA (245 nucleotides) under uncultured Rhodopila sp. RNAcentral describes it as "partial 16S ribosomal RNA". It matches the Rfam family "Bacterial small subunit ribosomal RNA", at positions 524 to 767 of the family's 1533-position model. Lineage: Bacteria; Pseudomonadati; Pseudomonadota; Alphaproteobacteria; Acetobacterales; Acetobacteraceae. The record is from RNAcentral.